AGGUCACUGUCCCUUUUACAACACAGUAGCAAAGAAGAUGGAUUCUCGUGUGUGCUCAGGGAAACACUGUCCUGAAGAGGUGUACACAUCUGAUGCCGUUUACAAAUACACUGGUUGCCAGCAGUUUGCUCUUGGCUCAAGCAUGACUACGCCCACGGGUCCCCUUGCCAACACGCCAAUGUCAGACACCUCUGAUAAUGCUAUCAUUGCUGGUUCAGUAAUAUCAGUGUUUGCUGUCAUUCUACUGGGUAUUCUGGGAUUUAUUCUAUGGAGAAAAAAGAGAUGUAAAAUUCUACGAAUAUUAAGACAUAUACAUUUCUAAAUCUAUUUUGCGAUGAUGAGCUGUACAAAAGAAAAUACUCCAGCAAAUGCUUUAGAUAUUUCAAGGGUUUAAAUAGAGUACUGGGG
Long non-coding RNA from Magallana angulata, 408 nucleotides. RefSeq lists it as uncharacterized. NCBI's taxonomy places the organism in Eukaryota, Metazoa, Mollusca, Bivalvia, Ostreida, Ostreidae. The record is from RefSeq and is a predicted model, not a curated record. The transcript is spliced from 3 exons.